UGCAGCCAACGGAGCCUCACUAAAGU
RNAcentral lists this non-coding RNA (26 nucleotides) under Homo sapiens (human). Lineage: Eukaryota; Metazoa; Chordata; Mammalia; Primates; Hominidae. The record is from RNAcentral.